RNAcentral lists this long non-coding RNA (558 nucleotides) under Androctonus crassicauda. Lineage: Eukaryota; Metazoa; Arthropoda; Arachnida; Scorpiones; Buthidae. The record is from RNAcentral.
AUUAUUUUAUCUUUUAAUAUAUUUUUUUAAAUUUUAUUAUUAUUUGUUUAACCAUUUCAAUCAGUUUUUUUUCAAAAAUUGUUUGAAAAUUUUUUAGUAUAUACAGGGUGUUAAUGAUUAACACUAACUACCUUGUAGUAAUAGAGAGCAUGUAGACAACCAAUUUGGUGUAAUCAAUCCAUAACUGGAAACACAAAAUAACGAUGCUUCAGGUCAUCAAAGUUGGAAAGUACGCUUCUUCCAUAAUAAGCAUCUGUCAGUUUUAUGUUGUUAUUUGUUUAUCGGUUUUAUUUGUUAUUUGCAGGGUUGUCGGUGCGGAGCUGCAAUGGAUCCGGAAAUAGUGAGGUUACUGGUAUACUGUUGGGUUACAGCAGCUGCUCAGAAUGAACGCCACCCAUCUCAUUGCAAACAUAGCAACACUGCUGCAGUUUUGACGUACUCGCUCAAAAGUUCGCCGCGUGGUCUAAAUUGUCACACUAGUAGCAUUAAUACGCGCUACCAAUUCCUCUACUAUCCUAACUGGAGUGGCGUAAACAAGAUUCUUCUCUCGUCCUUGGA